This 351-nucleotide unclassified non-coding RNA is filed under the name soil metagenome. RNAcentral's name for it is "partial contains 5.8S ribosomal RNA, internal transcribed spacer 2, and large subunit ribosomal RNA". The stretch from base 1 to 120 matches the Rfam family "5.8S ribosomal RNA", at positions 35 to 154 of the family's 154-position model. The record is from RNAcentral.
GAUGAAGAACGCAGCGAAAUGCGAUAAGUAAUGUGAAUUGCAGAAUUCAGUGAAUCAUCGAAUCUUUGAACGCACAUUGCGCCCGCGAGUAUUCUCGCGGGCAUGCCUGUCCGAGCGUCAUUUCAACCCUCAGGGCCCGCCUGCUCGCAGGCGCGGCGCUGGUGUUGGGGAUCGGCUACCCUGCCGUCCCCCAAAUACAGUGGCGGUCUCGCUGCAGCCUCCCCUGCGUAGUAGCAACACUCGCAUGCGGAGCGCGGCGCGGCCACGCCGUAAAACCCCCGACUUUCUGAACGUUGACCUCGGAUCAGGUAGGAAUACCCGCUGAACUUAAGCAUAUCAAUAAGCGGAGGA